RNAcentral lists this ribosomal RNA (821 nucleotides) under uncultured bacterium. Its description in RNAcentral is "bacterial SSU rRNA". It matches the Rfam family "Bacterial small subunit ribosomal RNA", at positions 28 to 869 of the family's 1533-position model. The record is from RNAcentral.
AACGAACGCUGGCGGCGUGGAUAAGACAUGCAAGUCGAACGAGAGAAUUGCUAGCUUGCUAAUAAUUCUCUAGUGGCGCACGGGUGAGUACCACGUGAGUAGCCUGCCCCCGAGAGCGGGAUAGCCCUGGGAAACUGGGAUUAAUACCGCAUAGUAUCGAAAGAUUAAAGCAGCAAUGCGCUUGGGGAUGGGCUCGCGGCCUAUUAGUUAGUUGGUGAGGUAACGGCUCACCAAGGCGAUGACGGGUAGCCGGUCUGAGAGGAUGUCCGGCCACACUGGAACUGAGACACGGUCCAGACACCUACGGGUGGCAGCAGUCGAGAAUCAUUCACAAUGGGGGAAACCCUGAUGGUGCGACGCCGCGUGGGGGAAUGAAGGUCUUCGGAUUGUAAACCCCUGUCAUGUGGGAGCAAAUUAAAAAGAUAGUACCACAAGAGGAAGAGACGGCUAACUCUGUGCCAGCAGCCGCGGUAAUACAGAGGUCUCAAGCGUUGUUCGGAAUCACUGGGCGUAAAGCGUGCGUAGGCUGUUUCGUAAGUCGUGUGUGAAAGGCGCGGGCUCAACCCGCGGACGGCACAUGAUACUGCGAGACUAGAGUAAUGGAGGGGGAACCGGAAUUCUCGGUGUAGCAGUGAAAUGCGUAGAUAUCGAGAGGAACACUCGUGGCGAAGGCGGGUUCCUGGACAUUAACUGACGCUGAGGCACGAAGGCCAGGGGAGCGAAAGGGAUUAGAUACCCCUGUAGUCCUGGCAGUAAACGGUGCACGCUUGGUGUGCGGGGAAUCGACCCCCUGCGUGCCGGAGCUAACGCGUUAAGCGUGC